UACGGGGGGGGGCAAGCGUUGUUCGGAAUUACUGGGCGUAAAGGGCUCGUAGGCGGCCAACUAAGUCAGACGUGAAAUCCCUCGGCUUAACCGGGGAACUGCAUCUGAUACUGGAUGGCUUGAGUUUGGGAGAGGGAUGCGGAAUUCCAGGUGUAGCGGUGAAAUGCGUAGAUAUCUGGAGGAACACCGGUGGCGAAGGCGGCAUCUUGGACCAACACUGACGCUGAGGAGCGAAAGCCAGGGGAGCAAAGCGGGAU
RNAcentral lists this ribosomal RNA (257 nucleotides) under uncultured bacterium. RNAcentral describes it as "partial 16S ribosomal RNA". It matches the Rfam family "Bacterial small subunit ribosomal RNA", at positions 524 to 779 of the family's 1533-position model. The record is from RNAcentral.